RNAcentral lists this ribosomal RNA (465 nucleotides) under uncultured bacterium. RNAcentral's name for it is "partial 16S ribosomal RNA". It matches the Rfam family "Bacterial small subunit ribosomal RNA", at positions 28 to 507 of the family's 1533-position model. The record is from RNAcentral.
GACGAACGCUGGCGGCGUGCUUAACACAUGCAAGUCGAACGGAAAGGCCCUGCUUGCAGGGUACUCGAGUGGCGAACGGGUGAGUAACACGUGGGUGAUCUGCCCUGCACUUCGGGAUAAGCCUGGGAAACUGGGUCUAAUACCGGAUAGGAGCCAUUUUUAGUGUGAUGGUUGGAAAGUUUUUUCGGUGUAGGAUGAGCUCGCGGCCUAUCAGCUUGUUGGUGGGGUAAUGGCCUACCAAGGCGGCGACGGGUAGCCGGCCUGAGAGGGUGGACGGCCACAUUGGGACUGAGAUACGGCCCAGACUCCUACGGGAGGCAGCAGUGGGGAAUAUUGCACAAUGGGCACAAGCCUGAUGCAGCGACGCCGCGUGGGGGAUGACGGCCUUCGGGUUGUAAACUCCUUUCGCUAGGGACGAAGCUUUUUGUGACGGUACCUAGAUAAGAAGCACCGGCUAACUACGUG